This 368-nucleotide ribosomal RNA is filed under the name uncultured organism. Its description in RNAcentral is "bacterial SSU rRNA". It matches the Rfam family "Bacterial small subunit ribosomal RNA", at positions 526 to 896 of the family's 1533-position model. The record is from RNAcentral.
CGGAGGGUGCAAGCGUUAUCCGGAUUCACUGGGUUUAAAGGGUGCGUAGGUGGGUUGGUAAGUCAGUGGUGAAAUCCCCGAGCUUAACUUGGGAACUGCCAUUGAUACUAUCAGUCUUGAAUACCGUGGAGGUUAGCGGAAUAUGUCAUGUAGCGGUGAAAUGCUUAGAUAUGACAUAGAACACCAAUUGCGAAGGCAGCUGGCUACACGAAUAUUGACACUGAGGCACGAAAGCGUGGGGAUCAAACAGGAUUAGAUACCCUGGUAGUCCACGCCCUAAACUAUGGAUACUCGACAUCAGCGAUACACUGUUGGUGUCUGAGCGAAAGCAUUAAGUAUCCCACCUGGGAAGUACGAUCGCAAGAUUG